CCUUAACCCACAGUUUUGCAUUGUGUAAUGCCUUGAUUACUGCUAGACUCAGGCUAGGAAGAUUAGUUCUCCUUCACUAGCAAUAUGUCUGUCAUCUUGUUUGUAUAGGGGAUGUGACCUAGUAGCCUGCAAAACCCAGACCUUCAGCUUUACCUCCACAAGCUAACCUGUAGUUCAUCCUUGCAUUCUGUCACUGAUGGGACUAAAAGCAUUGCUGUUGAUGGCUGACACCAGAAUGUUUUGCGUUCCACUUGCCUUGAGGAUGGGGGAACCCUGUCGGAGAGCAUGCAUGGGCCAAAGCUCCACUUGCCCGUGCUUGCUCAGAACACCACCUUCUGUUCUCCACAAAAAGCACUUUCUCCGCCACAUCCUUCAUGGUAUUAUUACCAGGUGCCAAAGUUGCCAGGAGAAGGAUCACGUUAAGUAGAGAAAAUUAUGAUCUAAGAGUAAAUUGAAAACUCGGGAGGUGCUCUUCUCAAGCUAAGCCCAGGGCUAUGCUGUUGGAUGGGAUACUAGCUAAUGGAAGUGCAAAAGUCACUUAUGAAGACAAAUCCUCCUGAGAGAAACACAAGGUAAUUGAGAAAGUUGCCAGCACAGACGUGAGCAUUGAGACAGGUGUGAAGAUGGGACUGGAGGUGGUGUAUGGGAAGGAGAAAGAGAGAAGGUGUCACAUAAAGAGGUUGACA
Molecule: long non-coding RNA, 686 nt
Filed under: Struthio camelus australis
Lineage: Eukaryota; Metazoa; Chordata; Aves; Struthioniformes; Struthionidae
Description: lncRNA (ENSSCUG00000015988.1)
Source: RNAcentral